Molecule: non-coding RNA, 2686 nt
Organism: Jatropha curcas
Lineage: Eukaryota; Viridiplantae; Streptophyta; Magnoliopsida; Malpighiales; Euphorbiaceae
Source: RefSeq, a predicted model, not a curated record
GGCAGUAUCUGUUUGAGCCAGGGCUUAAUCUGGUAGGGUGUUGUAAUUAGCUAAAUGCAGGCUAUGCAGCUGAUGGCUAUGCCAGGGCACGGGGAGUUGGUGCAUGUGUUGUUACUUUCAGAGUGGGUGGCCUUAGCAUUCUAAACCCAAUUGCUGGUGCUUACAGUGAAGAUUUGCCUGUCAUUUGUAUUGUUGGGGGUCCUAAUUCUAAUGAUUAUGGUUCUAAUCGAAUUCUUCACCAUACUCUUGGAUUGCCUGAUUUUUUCCAAGAGCUUCGUUGCUUUCAGGCUGUCACUUGUCAUCAAGCCAUUAUCAAUGACUUGCAAUAUGCACAAGAACAGAUUGAUAAAGCAAACACAAAAUGUUUAGAAGAAAGCAAGCCUGUUUAUAUUAGCAUCAGCUGUAAUUUGGCAACCACCCCUCAUCCCAGUUUCAUUCCAGACCCUAUUCCUCUCAUUUUCUCCAGCAAGUAAGACUACAUGCUAUAGUACUUUUGGUAGUCCAGUAUCUAUAAAUUAAUUUUUUCAAUGAAAUUCAUUUGCAGAAGAAAUGAAUUCCAUAUAGAUUUAUUCGAAGAAACACGUAAAUCUUGAUAAUCUUUAUUCACUUGUUUUGUAAUGCAGGAAAUCAGGAGUUUAAACACUGUCUGUUUCAUAAUACAGGGAGAAGAGUAUAAAUACUGACAGUCUCUAUUUUCUUGUUUAAUAGUGCAGGAGAUCAAGAACUUAUUGCCUUCCUUUCUUUUUCCUUUUCUUUUUCAUUUUGUAAUGCAGAAGAUCUGAAGUUUAACCCUGACAAUUUUUAAUAUUCACUUGUUUGGUGAUGCAAGAAGUCAGGAAUUUAAACGUGAGAGUCUUUUCUCCUAAACAUCUUUGAUUGACCAUAUAUUUUGUUAUUUCAGAAUAAGUAACCACAUGGCUCUGAAAUUAGCAGUAGAAGCAACUGCAGAAAUCUUAAAUAAAGCAAGAAAUCCAGUUCUAGUAGCUGGACCAAGACUCCGAGUAGCUAAAGCCUGCAAUGCUUUUCUUCAGUUAGCAGAUUCUUGUGGUUAUGCAAUUUCAGUAAUGCCAGCAGCAAAAGGCCUUGUGCCAGAAAAUCUCCCUAACUUCAUUGGAACUUACUGGGGAGCAGCAAGCACUUCUUUCUGUGCUUAAAUAAUUGAAACUUUUGAUGCAUUACUAUUUACAGGACCAAUUUUUGAUGAUUUAAGCACUGUUGGUAGCUCACUACUCUUUAACAAAAAUAAAGCUUUCAUUGCAGAAUCUGAAAGAGUUAUUAUUCCAAAUAUGCCUAUUUCUUGGUGUGUGCCAUUGAAGAAGUUUCUGGAAAAAUUAGCAGAAAGGAUUGAUUAUGACACAAAUGCUUAUCAGAAUUACCAGAGACGAGUAUGCGUUGUUCCUGAAAGAGAACUUCCUUUACAAUCUGAGGCUAAAAAGGUCUUAAGGGUUUCAAAUUCAAAUUCUAUAUUCAUCAAUUGGUUGGUCGUUGGUGCAACUCUUGGUUAUGCGCAGGCUGCACGGGACAAGCGAGUUAUAGCUUGUCUUGGAGAUGGAAGUUUUCAGAUGGCUGCACAAGAAGUGUCAACAAUGCUUCGACGGGGGAAUAAAAGCAAAAUCUUCUUGAUCAACAAUGGAGGAUACUCAACAGAAGCUGUGUUCGUGAUGGAUCCAACAACGUAAUCAAGAACUGGAGCCAUGUUAGUCUUGUUAAUGCUAUAGACAAUGGUGAAGGCAAGUGUUGGACAACUAAGGUUUGUCCUGAGAAGGUAAUAAUUUCAGCAAUGGAGAGAAUAAAAAGGGAUGAAGGGAUUGCUUGUGCUUUAUAGAGGUCAUUGUUGAUAAGAAUGAUACUAGCAAAGAGCUUCUUCAGUUUGGGUGCAGGGUUGCUGCUUCCGGCAGUCGCUAGGAAAUGUAUUCUCCAUCAAUUUAUUUAUAGAGAGCCUUGAUGCAAUGUUUCACUCUUUAACUUUUUACCGUAUUGCAAUUUCACUUUAUUAUAGAUAGCCUUGAUGCAUCGUUGUCUUCACGACGAAGAUGUUACCAAAUUUUAUAAUAGGUUACUCGCAAAUUUUUGGCUUCUGUACAUAUUUACCCCUAACAUAACAAGCCACGUAAAUUAGACGCUGGAGGUCUAUUUGUAAAUUCGCACGACCUCCCAAUUAAAACCCUAAAACCCGAGAGUCCAAUUCUCCUUCGCCAAGAGACAGAAAAACCCUCUCCUUUCUUUGUAAAACCCUAGAUUCACAGGCAAUAUCUUAUAGCCUUUCACAUUGCAUCAAUGGCCGAUUCUAUAAUUUCCCUUGAGAAGCUGAAAUCUUUCUUGAACUCUCAAAUUUACGAUGAAGAGAAGUGGGCCUUAAACAUGAAAUUGCUUCGUGCUGCUGGACUGUUUGGAGGAUCCAUUUUUCUUAUGCGGAAUUACGGAGAACUCAUGGCUAUAUAAUUACAGAUGAUCGUUUGCUACAAUGCUGAGCUCAAAAUCCUGAUGUAUUAGAGUAGUUUUUAAGGAGUUUUAGCUGCUAUUUCAAACAGUGGAUGGUAUUUUGCUACCUGUCUUUGAAUUCCACUUAAUGGCUGAGCUCCUUAAAUUUUACCAUAUCUUAAUCACAUUACUUCUUUAUGUGGAAUUGUUUCUGAACACCUUUGGAAUUAAAUAACGUUCUGUAAUCAUAGAAUUGUUCUGUGCA